UGGGGAAUUUUGGACAAUGGGCGAAAGCCUGAUCCAGCCAUGCCGCGUGAGUGAAGAAGGCCUCCGGGUUGUAAAGCUCUUUUAGUCGGAAAGAAAGAGUUGAAAUGAAUAAUUGUGAUUUAUGACGGUACCGACAGAAAAAGCACCGGCUAACUACGUGCCAGCAGCCGCGGUAAUACGUAGGGUGCGAGCGUUAAUCGGAAUUACUGGGCGUAAAGGGUGCGCAGGCGGUCUUGCAAGUCAGAUGUGAAAGCCCCGGGCUUAACCUGGGAAUUGCGUUUGAAACUACAAGACUAGAGUGCAGCAGAGGGGAGUGGAAUUCCAUGUGUAGCAGUGAAAUGCGUAGAGAUGUGGAAGAACACCGAUGGCGAAGGCAGCUCCCUGGGUUGACACUGACGCUCAUGCACGAAAGCGUGGGGAGCAAACA
This 427-nucleotide ribosomal RNA is filed under the name uncultured bacterium. RNAcentral's name for it is "bacterial SSU rRNA". It matches the Rfam family "Bacterial small subunit ribosomal RNA", at positions 355 to 774 of the family's 1533-position model. The record is from RNAcentral.